CAACAGGAUUGCCCCAGUAACGGCGAGUGAAGCGGCAACAGCUCAAAUUUGAAAUCUGGCUCUCGGGCCCGAGUUGUAAUUUGUAGAGGAUGCUUUUGGUGAGGUGCCUUCCGAGUUCCCUGGAACGGGACGCCAUAGAGGGUGAGAGCCCCGUCUGGUUGGACGCCGAACCUCUGUAAAGCUCCUUCGACGAGUCGAGUAGUUUGGGAAUGCUGCUCUAAAUGGGAGGUAUAUGUCUUCUAAAGCUAAAUACCGGCCAGAGACCGAUAGCGCACAAGUAGAGUGAUCGAAAGAUGAAAAGAACUUUGAAAAGAGAGUUAAACAGUACGUGAAAUUGUUGAAAGGGAAGCGCUUGUGACCAGACUUGGGCUUGGUUGAUCAUCCGGGGUUCUCCCCGGUGCACUCUUCCGGCCCAGGCCAGCAUCAGUUCGCCCUGGGGGACAAAGGCAUCGGGAACGUGGCUCUCUCCGGGGAGUGUUAUAGCCCGUUGCGUAAUACCCUGCGGCGGACUGAGGUUCGCGCAUUCGCAAGGAU
This 534-nucleotide ribosomal RNA is filed under the name Fusarium mori. RNAcentral describes it as "partial large subunit ribosomal RNA". It matches the Rfam family "Eukaryotic large subunit ribosomal RNA", at positions 67 to 624 of the family's 3401-position model. Lineage: Eukaryota; Fungi; Ascomycota; Sordariomycetes; Hypocreales; Nectriaceae. The record is from RNAcentral.